RNAcentral lists this ribosomal RNA (408 nucleotides) under uncultured Entrophospora. Its description in RNAcentral is "uncultured Claroideoglomus partial 28S ribosomal RNA". The record is from RNAcentral. Lineage: Eukaryota; Fungi; Glomeromycota; Glomeromycetes; Entrophosporales; Entrophosporaceae.
GAGAGUUAAACAGUACGUGAAAUUGUUGAAAGGGAAACGAUUGAAGUCAGUCGUGCUGGCGCGAAAUCAGCUCGACCACUAGGGGAUCACGGGCCGUAGCGAGCCUCAAAACCGUUACGACUUGUGAUUGCUUAGUGGCCUGGUGCACUUUCGUGUCGGCUGGUUAACAUCAAUUUCGAUCGUCAUAAAAAGGCUGGAGGGAUGUGGCUCCUUCGGGAGUGUUAUAACCUUUGGCGGAAUGUGGUGGUCGGGAUUGAGGCUUGCAACGAAUACCUUCAGGGCUGUUCCACCUGGCCUCUCGUCGGCAUCCUGGCGACGACAGCUUGCUGACGUUGUUAGGACCAGCUUUCGAACAGGCUAGAGUGUGAGCAAAUUCGUUAAGGAUGUUAACGUAAUGGCUUUAAACGA